GUACAGAGGAUGUGUUCCACAAAGCAUUUCUGCUCCGCAGCAAGCUCCUGCAAACUGUCCUUAUCUUCUUCAUCUACAAAGGAGCACAUUAUAUAAGUUCUUCAAAAUCAAAUGGCGAUGAAGACAGGUCAUGGCUCCGUAGGAAACCUACGCUUGCACACAUGUACUCACAGGAAACUGCUGCAGCACAGGUACCAAAACAGACUUCAGGACAACUGCUUAGGGGACUGAACAGUUCAGUCAGAGGACAGUAAGCCAGGGGUGAAAGGUGAAGUUUUACUUGUCUCGAUAACGCUGACUUACAGACAGUUUAAGUUUUGGAUACAAUUUUUGUGUGACAAUCAUUUAUAUUUAUACUAAGAAAUAUGAGCAGUUGUUACAUAAUCUUAAUGAAAAUGUCUAUAUUUCCUUUGAGCCCUAGUAUCCGUAAGACUACCCUGAGACUAAAAGGUGAGAUCUUGAAUAAUCUUGAAUAGCUAUUAUUAUUUAUAAAUAUUUAUCUCUGUGACUCAGGAUUUUUAAAACAUUAAACAAUUAAAACAAGAUAAAGAAAUAACGUAUAUACUAAAGCUGAUUUAAGAUGACAAUUGUCACCCUAAAUUAAAUUUUUCUUUUAUCUAACAGCCUCACUUUCUUACUAUGAACUUAUAGUAAGUAAAUGUUAUAAAGUAGAUGUUACAUUAUUUUUAUCUGUUUUAUACGCUGGGGUUCUGCAUAACACCUCUGAAAAUAGCAUUAUGCUAUAAAAAUUCCUGGUCUAUGGCAGUCAUCUUUUUGAAUAAGAAAAUAUUGAAAAGUUUCUUUCAUUUGGCCACACUUGACACUUAAUGUAAGGUUCAAACCAUCUCAUUAGGUCUACCAUUGUUUAAAAUGGCUUUUCAAAAUGUGUUUAGUGCUGAAGUCAACAGAAAAAUCUUAAUACUGAGAUAUAACAGAAGUCUGUUAUGAAAUGGAAGCAACAUUAGUAACAGAAGUAGGGAAUUUGCUAGACACCCCCCAGAUGUUUUACGGUAGCCAUUUCACUUAUAUCAUCUAAAAUGCAGUUAUGUUUCAGUUAUUGUAAUAUGCCUUAAAUACAAAUAUGAAUGAGUCAAAAGUUUAUUAGUUUCACAUGUGAAAAUGUUAACUCUUAUUAGAAAAACUAAGAUAAAAAUGCCUACAUUCAAGAUUUUCCAAAGAUAGAUUUAUCUGUACAAGGAAAUCAAUUAGUUUAUGUCACUUUACCUCAGUAGGUCUCAAUUCCCUCAUCUACAAAGCAAGGUUCUGAGACUUAAGAUUAAGACUAUAUAUCCCCAAACACUGUUCAACUAGACAGGCCCGACGAGUUCGCUUUGCUGGUUUAUUAUAUAAGGACCACUAUCCCCUUAAAUCUUUUGGCUAUACUUUAGUAGAACUGAAGCCAUUGUUAUCAAACCUACGCACUCUACCUGGCUAACGGCACUAUAAUAGGACUAGACAGAGGAAAACUAGGAAAGGCGCAUCAAACUCUUCCAGACUAAGUAAGCGUUUGUUCCUCAUUCUGCACAGGGAAGACGACAAGAUUCUAGAGGAGACUCUGAGAAAGCGGGGAGGGCAAAUAGGAGUACAGGAUCUCUGAGUUAGAGGGGACCUUAGAAAUCAUCUGUUAUCCCUGUUGUUUUCAGAUGAGAAAACUGAAGCCCUGAGAGGUUGAGUAAAUGCCCAAUACUACAGAACCUAUUACUGUUAAAGCGCUAACUCAAAUCCAGGACACUACAGACUCCUGGCCACAAACCCUUCCACUCAGCCACUCUGUGUCUGAAUAAAAGAUCCUUCGAUUCUCGGCAUUUUAUCCAAGAGCUCCCUAGAUGAACAGAGAGAAGCUGCCAGAAGGAUGUGGUACCAACCCAGGCACUACCGCAGGGUCCUGGGAAUGUAUCGGUGAACUAAACAAAGGCCCUCCCUCUCAUGAGAGAGAUGGACAACAACAGAGAAGAAACAAACAGACAACACCAAGUCAGAAAACGACGUUAUGAAGAAAAUAAGGUGCGGUAAGAGGGUACUGAUGGAGGCGCUACUUGAGACUGGGUGGUCUGGGAAGGGCUGCUAAGGCGACACUUGAGCAAAGAUUUGAAGGAAGGGAGGGAGGGAGAGGUCUGUGGUUACCUGGGGAAGGAGCAACUGAGGCAGAGGGAGGCACGCAGGUGAAGGCUUAGGGUGGGAAGGUGGGUGAUGCUACCUGAGGCAUGGCAAGGAGGCCAAGGCAGCUGGAGCUCAGAGAGCCAGGGCACAGAGGGAGGAACACAGCUGGAGAGGGGCAGUCAGGGGCACACCUGUAGGCCCUCGCAGGCCACGGUAAAGACUCUGAGAGAUCAGUGGGCUGUGGAGAGCAGGAAAGUAGAAUGAUCUGAUUUAUACUAAAAGUAUCACUCUGGCUGCUAUACUGAGGAUACACUACAGGAGAUUACAAAAGAUUUCAUUUUCUACUUAAUAUUUUUCUGUAGUUUUCCCAAUUUUCUAUAAUAAAUAUACAUUACCUUUAUAAUCAGGAAAGACAAAUGAUAAAACAUGCUGUUUUUAUAUUUUAAAAUUUAGUAUCAUUGGUAAUCUCAAAAGAUUCCAGUUUAACACAAAGUUAAUGAAUAUGAGUAUAGUAAAAUCACAAUUUCAUAUAGUUGAGAGUCAACAUCAUUCUGAAGUAUUCUAAGUACCGUAUCUUAGUUUCUUUAUCACAUGGAAAGGUAUAUGGUAUCAGGAAGCAAAAAAAACGAGGAAUCUCAAAACCCAGAAUAAAAGAACUGCCUGAGUUAAACUCAAAAAUCAAGACAAUGAAUGGGACAAAGAGACACAGAAGUUAAGUUAAAGAGACGUAAAAGACUUCAAAGCCAUCAAAACUUAACAAAUAUAGUAAUAUUUCUAAUAAUGAUAUAGGUAUCAAUUAAUGAGUACUUACUCUGCGCUGUGACCCAUGCUAAGCACUUUUUAGGCAUGAUCUCAUUUAUUCUGUACAAUAAUCCUAAUAAAUGAACACUAUUGCUACUUUUUAAAGUCAUGGAACAUACAGUCAUGGAAAUGAGGCUUAGUGCAUUGAAUAACUUGCCCAGAUGCCACAGCUAACAAGUGGCAGGGCUGAGCUUAGAACACACGGGUGUGGAUGCCACAGCCAAUGCUCUUCACAACUGCAUUUGCUCCACAGCCUCACAUCCAGACGCGUCUGUCAAAAGGAGGCUGAUAAGCUACGGAGACACACAGCAGGGAGAAAACGCCCCGACACCAGAACAGGGCCUAUCAACUCCCACAGGCAAGUAUUUCCCCACUGUGGAGAUGGAUGCACUGGAACUUAAGCAACUGGUACCAUAAGACAUUAAAAUUAUUUAACUCAAACUUUCAGUUCUGGGACUAUCAAAGAGAAUUAAAGUGGUCCCAGGUCAGUGGCAACCUCUGAUUCCUGGCAGAAGCAGAUGAGAAAUCCUCUUUAAAGGAACAGACCCCCACUGCAGUUCUCAAUAUUCCCAAAUAUUAAGAUCAUGUAAACAUAAGUUCAUAGUUAGAGAUCAGCAAUCACAAGAGGAAGCCACUAUGGUUGUGGGUCAGGAGGAAGAACAAAUACAGAUUUAGACCCCCACCCCCUACCCCCAGGACUUAGAUACUGAAACUGUCAAAUACAGAAUAGCUAUAUAUAAAAUAUUCCGAGGAAUAAAGGUUAGAAAAACAAAAAUAAACAAGACUAUUAGAUAUGACCACCACAGAGACAUGAAAAGAACUAAAUGGAACUUCCAGAAAUACUGCUGCUAAAAGCUUCACUCUAUAUGCACACGCUGUGGGUGAUCGUGUGGUAAUCACCAGAAAGACUGAUCAGGAGGCCAGAGGAAUGGGGUUUGUGAGUU
Equus caballus (horse) is the source of this 3845-nucleotide non-coding RNA. The record is from RefSeq and is a predicted model, not a curated record. Lineage: Eukaryota; Metazoa; Chordata; Mammalia; Perissodactyla; Equidae.